GAUAUUUUUGUGGUCAAUAAAGCUCUAUAUAUAUCCAAUAUGAGCAGAUAUUCUUCACCCAUUUUAACAAUUAAAAGUAAAAUUUAACUCCAGCUCUCUCUCUCUCUCUCUUCUCGCAAGGAUUAAACCAGCAACCUUAAAAUUUUCUAUGGUUCUUGAAGAAACCCUCAUAUCUGCAAACCAAAUGUGAAGUGAGGCUAAAGUUCUAAAAGAAUUCAAGUUAUAACGAGAAGAUGCAGAAAUUGAGGCAAGAUUAAAACCAAAAAGGGGAGGCUGAUCGUGAUAGUAUAUCAGUCCGAGGAUAAGGUAUGUAAGGCUAUUCGAUUCUAUAUCCCUUUGUCAUGAAAUUUGACACCUGCAAUUAAUAUCAAUGAAGUGAAUCUCAUAAGUUCUAUUCCUAGAAACGGAAACAUAGUGGCAGCAUACUAUCCCAAAUAGCUAACAAUAUUUCCCCAUCACCGUAGUGCAUAAAACUACUUCAUUAUCUGUUCAAUAUUUUAUACUUGUGUAAUUAUCCCCCAUGUGCUGGUAUAGAAAUGGUAAUUGGAAAAUCUAGUGUGUGAAUCCUCCUCUUUGUUGUAAUUGUGUCAUUAAUCCCUUUAAGUAAUGCCUUGAUGUUACAUAGUUUCUUAUGUCAUUGUUAUUUCCAUGAAAUAUUAUUUUCAUGUCUUCUAUUACUAGUCAAUACUUCCAUAUCUCCAAAAUGAUUAUGACCACCAAAAUAACA
This is a non-coding RNA of Solanum lycopersicum (tomato), 727 nucleotides long. The record is from RefSeq and is a predicted model, not a curated record. NCBI's taxonomy places the organism in Eukaryota, Viridiplantae, Streptophyta, Magnoliopsida, Solanales, Solanaceae.